This is a non-coding RNA of Pelobates cultripes (western spadefoot toad), 214 nucleotides long. The record is from the annotation of a GenBank genome assembly. Lineage: Eukaryota; Metazoa; Chordata; Amphibia; Anura; Pelobatidae.
AUCCAGACAAAAUUCUCAGCUUAGUAAAUAGAACUCUGAGAAACACAAGAUCAUAAGUGAGUGGUGUGACGUGAUAAUACAGUCAGUGCUAGCCAUUCAUAAUGGAGGAAAUUUCUACAUACAGAGGACACUGACAAACACUAUCAGACACACUCUCACUGAUUUGACACACACUGACAGACAAACUUACAGAAACACACACACUCAGUGACAG